This 1790-nucleotide ribosomal RNA is filed under the name Ptilocerembia sp. KBMEB162. RNAcentral describes it as "eukaryotic LSU rRNA". The stretch from base 471 to 1790 matches the Rfam family "Eukaryotic large subunit ribosomal RNA", at positions 665 to 1870 of the family's 3401-position model. Lineage: Eukaryota; Metazoa; Arthropoda; Insecta; Embioptera; Ptilocerembiidae. The record is from RNAcentral.
UUCACGUCCGCCCGGCUGUCCGGUCGCCUGGCCUCGCCCGAUGUCGUCGGCUGCCUGCCGCGGUUCGCGCCGUGUCGCAGUGUCAGUUCCGUCGUUCACGGUGCGAGGUGGCGGCCAUCGCGGCGGCGGAGGACUGCACUUCCUCCCUAGUAGGAACGUCGCGACCCGUCGAGGGCGGGUCCAAGGCACGGGGUAUCGAACGCUCGCGUCUGUGGGGCGGGUUUCCGUUCCCGGCGCGAAUCUCCGUUGCCCGGCCUGCCGUUAGACGGUAUGACGGCGGAGCAGGCUCGCUCAACUCAGAGCGCCCAGCCCGGUGUCGGCGUGGUCGUCCGUCGGUGGCUCGUGUCGAAAACACGUCCCUGGCGCCGUGCCGCGUCCGGCUGCAAGACCGGUGUCCCUGGGCAGCGGCCUAGUCUCCCGUCGGCGACGCCGCAGAUUGGGGCACUCUCCCGACCCGUCUUGAAACACGGACCAAGGAGUCUAACAUGUGCGCGAGCCAUUGGGUUCGGCAGCGAAACCCAGAGGCGCAGUGAAAGUGAAGGUAGCCCUAGGGCAACCGAGGGAGGAUGGUGCCGGCUGCGUCCGGUGCCCGCACUCCCGGGGCGUCUCACCCUCAUUGCGAGGAGAGACGCACCCAGAGCGUACACGUUGGGACCCGAAAGAUGGUGAACUAUGCCUGGCCAGGACGAAGUCAGGGGAAACCCUGAUGGAGGUCCGUAGCGAUUCUGACGUGCAAAUCGAUCGUCAGAGCUGGGUAUAGGGGCGAAAGACUAAUCGAACCGUCUAGUAGCUGGUUCUCUCCGAAGUUUCCCUCAGGAUAGCUGGUACUCGGAGUAAGAGUCUCAUAUGGUAAAGCGAAUGAUUAGAGGCCUUGGGGCCGAAACGACCUCAACCUAUUCUCAAACUUUAAAUGGGUGAGAUCUCCGGCUUGCUCAACGUGAAGCCGGAGGCGGAUCAGAGUGCCAAGUGGGCCAUUUUUGGUAAGCAGAACUGGCGCUGUGGGAUGAACCAAACGCAGAGUUAAGGCGCCGAAAUCGACGCUCAUGGGAAACCAUGAAAGGUGUUGGUUGCUUAAGACAGCAGGACGGUGGCCAUGGAAGUCGGAAUCCGCUAAGGAGUGUGUAACAACUCACCUGCCGAAGCAACUAGCCCUGAAAAUGGAUGGCGCUGAAGCGUCGUGCCUAUACUCUGCCGUCGGCGGCAGGAGGGCGCUCCCGCAAGGGGGCCCCGGUGAAGCUCCGACGAGUAGGAGAGUCGCGGCGGUGUGCGCAGAAGGGUCUGGGCGCGAGCCUGCCUGGAGCCACCGUCGGUGCAGAUCUUGGUGGUAGUAGCAAAUACUCCAGCGAGGACCUGGAGGACUGACGCGGAGAAGGGUUUCGUGUGAACAGCCGUUGCACACGAGUCAGUCGAUCCUAAGCCCUAGGAGAAAUCCCAUGCAGAUGGUUCGGUGUAAAUGUCGAAAGCAAAACCGACCGUCGGGCGAAAGGGAAUCCGGUUCCUAUUCCGGAACCCGGCAGCGGAACCGUUCCAAUUCGGGCCCUCGCAAGAGGACUCGUCGGGGUAACCCAACAGGACCCGGAGACGCCGUCGGGAGAUCGGGGAAGAGUUUUCUUUUCUGCAUGAGCGUUCGAGUUCCCUGGAAUCCUCUAGCAGGGAGAUAGGGUUUGGAACGCGAAGAGCACCGCAGUUGCGGCGGUGUCCCGAUCUUCCCCUCGGACCAUGAAAAUCCGGGAGAGGGCCACGUGGAGCUUUCGCGCCGGCUCGUACCCAUAUCCGCAGCAGGUCUCCAA